UGAAUACGAGACGCUAAGGCGUCGAAGUAGUGUAUGUCAUACUUCCAAGAAAAGCUCGCACUGUCAUAGAUAAAAAACGCCUGUACCAUAACCGACACAGGUGGGUAGGUAGAGUAUACUAAGGGGCGCGAGAUAACUCUCUCUAAGGAGCUCGGCAAAAUAACUCCGUAACUUCGGGAGAAGGAGUGCCUUAUUCGUAAGGUUGCAAUAACAAGAUCCAAGCAACUGUUUAUCAAAAACACAGGUCUCCGCUAAGUCGUAAGACGAUGUAUGGGGGCUGACGCCUGCCCAGUGCCAGAAGGUUAAAGAAGUUGGUUAGCAAUUGCGAAGCUGAUAACUGAAGCCCUGGUGAACGGCGGCCGUAACUAUAACGGUCCUAAGGUAGCGAAAUUCCUUGUCGGGUAAGUUCCGACCCGCACGAAAGGCGUAAUGAUUUGGAUACUGUCUCGGAGAGGGGCUCGGUGAAAUAGACUUGUCUGUGAAGAUGCGGACUACCUGCACCAGGACAGAAAGACCCUAUGAAGCUUUACUGUAACUUGAAAUUGAAAUUGGACUUUAUUCGCGCAGUAUAGGUGGGAGGCGUUGAUUAUAAUCUUGUGGGAUUAUUGGAGCCAUCAGUGAGAUACCACUCUUGUAAUGUUAGAUUUCUAACUUUGAAUCAUUAUCUGGUCAAAGAACAGUUUCAGGCGGGCAGUUUGACUGGGGCGGUCGCCUCCUAAACGGUAACGGAGGCGUACAAAGGUUUCCUCUGAACGGUUAGAAAUCGUAUCUAGAGUGUAAAGGCAUAAGGAAGCUUGACUGUGAGACCUACAAGUCGAGCAGGGACGAAAGUCGGUCUUAGUGAUCUGACGGUACUGAGUGGAAAGGCCGUCACUCAACGGAUAAAAGUUACUCUAAGGAUAACAGGCUGAUCUCCCCCAAGAGUUCACAUCGACGGGGAGGUUUGGCACCUCGAUGUCGGCUCAUCGCAUCCUGGGGCGGUAGUACGUCCCAAGGGUUGGGCUGUUCGCCCAUGAAAGCGGUACGCGAGCUAGGUUCAGAACGUCGUGAGACAGUUCGGUCCAUAUCCGGUGUAGGCGUUAGAAUAUUGAGAGGAGCCUUCUUUAGUACGAGAGGACCGAGAAGGACAUACCUCUGGUGUACCAGUUAUCGUGCCAACGGUAAACGCUGGGUAGCUAUGUAUGGAGUGGAUAACCGCUGAAAGCAUCUAAGUGGGAAGCCCACCUCAAGAUAAGUAUUCUCC
This 1243-nucleotide ribosomal RNA is filed under the name metagenome. RNAcentral describes it as "bacterial LSU rRNA". It matches the Rfam family "Bacterial large subunit ribosomal RNA", at positions 1564 to 2816 of the family's 2925-position model. The record is from RNAcentral.